Molecule: ribosomal RNA, 479 nt
Filed under: fungal sp. KL-2011
Lineage: Eukaryota; Fungi
Description: eukaryotic LSU rRNA
Rfam family: 5.8S ribosomal RNA (bases 130-283)
Source: RNAcentral
CUUCGGUUUCCCCUGUCUGAACCCUUGUCUUUUGCGUACUAUUUGUUUCCUUGGUAGGCUUGCCUGCCGAUAGGACAACCAUUAAACCUUUUGUAAUUGCAAUCAGCGUCAGAAAAACAUAAUAAUUACAACUUUCAACAACGGAUCUCUUGGUUCUGGCAUCGAUGAAGAACGCAGCGAAAUGCGAAAAGUAGUGUGAAUUGCAGAAUUCAGUGAAUCAUCGAAUCUUUGAACGCACAUUGCGCCCCUUGGUAUUCCAUGGGGCAUGCCUGUUCGAGCGUCAUUUGUACCUUCAAGCUCUGCUUGGUGUUGGGUGUUUGUCCCGCUUUUUGCGUGGACUCGCCUCAAAGCAAUUGGCAGCCGGCGUACUAGCCUGGAGCGCAGCACAUUUUGCGCAUCUUGACUUGAACGCUUGCGUCCAUUAAGCACAUAUUUUAACUCUUGACCUCGGAUCAGGUAGGGAUACCCGCUGAACUUAA